RNAcentral lists this ribosomal RNA (253 nucleotides) under uncultured bacterium. Its description in RNAcentral is "partial 16S ribosomal RNA". It matches the Rfam family "Bacterial small subunit ribosomal RNA", at positions 524 to 776 of the family's 1533-position model. The record is from RNAcentral.
UACGUAGGUGGCAAGCGUUGUCCGGAAUUAUUGGGCGUAAAGCGCGCGCAGGCGGUUCCUUAAGUCUGAUGUGAAAGCCCACGGCUCAACCGUGGAGGGUCAUUGGAAACUGGGGAACUUGAGUGCAGAAGAGAAGAGUGGAAUUCCACGUGUAGCGGUGAAAUGCGUAGAGAUGUGGUGGAACACCAGUGGCGAAGGCGGGUCUCUGGGCAAUUCCUGACGCUGAGGCGCGAAAGCGUGGGGAGCAAACGGG